Molecule: ribosomal RNA, 468 nt
Filed under: uncultured bacterium
Lineage: Bacteria
Description: partial 16S ribosomal RNA
Rfam family: Bacterial small subunit ribosomal RNA
Source: RNAcentral
GACGAACGCUGGCGGCGUGCUUAACACAUGCAAGUCGAACGGAAAGGCCCUGCUUUUGUGGGGUGCUCGAGUGGCGAACGGGUGAGUAACAUGUGAGUAACCUGCCCUUGACUUUGGGAUAACUUCAGGAAACUGGGGCUAAUACCGGCUAGGUGCUCCUGCUGCAUGGUGGGGGUUGGAAAGUUUAGGCGGUUGGGGAGAGACUCGCGGCUUAUCAGCUUGUUGGUGGGGGAGUGGCUUACCAAGGCUUUGGUGGAUCGCCGGCAUGAGAGCGGGAACGGGCACAAUAGUACUGAGAGACGCACCAGAGGGGUACAUUAGGCAGUAGGGGGGAAUAUUGUACAAUGGGCGGACGUCUGAGGCAGCAAUGUCGCGAGCGGAAUGACGGCCUUCGUGGGGGAAACCGCUUUCGCCUGAGACGAAGCGUGAUUGACGGUAAUGGGUAAAGAAGCACCGGCUAACUACGUG